This 1815-nucleotide long non-coding RNA is filed under the name Oncorhynchus kisutch (coho salmon). RNAcentral describes it as "lncRNA (ENSOKIG00005005088.1)". The record is from RNAcentral. Lineage: Eukaryota; Metazoa; Chordata; Actinopteri; Salmoniformes; Salmonidae.
AUGGAGACGGAGAGAGUGGGAUGGGGCCAGAGAGAGAGGGAGGGAGACGGAGAGAGAGGGAUGGGGCCAGAGAGAGAGGGAGGGAGACGGAGAGAGAGGGAUGGGGCCAGAGAGAGAGGGAGGGAGACGGAGAGAGUGGGAUGGGGCCAGAGAGAGAGGGAUGGAGACGGAGAGAGUGGGAUGGGGCCAGAGAGAGAGGGAGGGAGACGGAGAGAGAGGGAUGGGGCCAGAGAGAGAGGGAGGGAGACGGAGAGAGAGGGAUGGGGCCAGAGAGAGAGGGAGGGAGACGGAGAGAGUGGGAUGGGGCCAGAGAGAGAGGGAUGGAGACGGAGAGAGUGGGAUGGGGCCAGAGAGAGAGGGAUGGAGACGGAGAGAGUGGGAUGGGGCCAGAGAGAGAGGGAGGGAGACGGAGAGAGAGGGAUGGGGCCAGAGAGAGAGGGAGGGAGACGGAGAGAGAGGGAUGGGGCCAGAGAGAGAGGGAGGGAGACGGAGAGAGUGGGAUGGGGCCAGAGAGAGAGGGAUGGAGACGGAGAGAGUGGGAUGGGGCCAGAGAGAGAGGGAUGGAGACGGAGAGAGUGGGAUGGGGCCAGAGAGAGAGGGAGGGAGACAGAGAGAGAGGGAUGGGGCCAGAGAGAGAGGGCUGGGGCCAGAGAGAGAGGGAUGGAGACGGAGAGAGUGGGAUGGGGCCAGAGAGAGAGGGAGGGAGACGGAGAGAGAGGGAUGGGGCCAGAGAGAGAGGGAGAGAGAGGGAUGGGGCCAGAGAGAGAGGGAGGGAGACGUAGAGAGAGGGAUGGGGCCAGAGAGAGAGGGAUGGAGACGGAGAGAGUGGGAUGGGGCCAGAGAGAGAGGGAUGGAGACGGAGAGAGUGGGAUGGGGCCAGAGAGAGAGGGAUGGAGACGGAGAGAGUGGGAUGGGGCCAGAGAGAGAGGGAUGGAGACGGAGAGAGUGGGAUGGGGCCAGAGAGAGAGGGAGGGAGACGGAGAGAGAGGGAUGGGGCCAGAGAGAGAGGGAGAGAGAGGGAUGGGGCCAGAGAGAGAGGGAGGGAGACUGAGAGAGUGGGAUGGGGCCAGAGAGAGAGGGAUGGAGACGGAGAGAGUGGGAUGGGGCCAGAGAGAGAGGGAGGGAGACGGAGAGAGAGGGAUGGGGCCAGAGAGGGAUGGGGCCAGAGAGAGAGGGAGAGAGAGGGAUGGGGCCAGAGAGAGAGGGAGGGAGCCAGAGAGAGAGGGAGGGAGACAGAGGGAUGGGGCCAGAGAGAGACGGAGAGAGAGGGAUGGGGCCAGAGAGAGAGGGAUGGGGCCAGAGAGAGAGGGAGGGGGCCAGAGAGAGAGGGAGGGGGCCAGAGAGAGAGGGGGCCAGAGAGAGAGGGAGGGGGCCAGAGAGAGAGGGAGGGGGCCAGAGAGAGAGGGGGCCAGAGAGAGAGGGAGGGGGCCAGAGAGAGAGGGAGGGGGCCAGAGAGAGAGGGAGGGAGCCAGAGAGAGAGGGAGGGAGCCAGAGAGAGAGGGAGGGAGACGGAGAGAGAGGGAUGGGGCCAGAGAGAGGGAGGGAAACGGAGAGAGAGGGAUGGGGCCAGAGAGAGAGGGAGGGAGACGGAGAGAGAGGGAUGGGGCCAGAGAGAGAGUGGGAUGGGGCCAGAGAGAGAGGGAGGGAGACGGAGAGAGAGGGAUGGGGCCAGAGAGAGAGGGAGGGAGACGAUGGGGCCAGAGAGAGGGAGAGAGAGGGAUGGAGACGGAGAGAGAGGGAUGGGGCCAGAGAGAGAGGGAGGGAGACGGAGAGAGAGGGAUGGGGCCAGAGAGAGAGGGAGGGAGACGGAGAUAG